Molecule: ribosomal RNA, 451 nt
Filed under: uncultured bacterium
Lineage: Bacteria
Description: bacterial SSU rRNA
Rfam family: Bacterial small subunit ribosomal RNA
Source: RNAcentral
UUUGAUCAUGGCUCAAAUUGAACGCUGGCGGCAUGCCUUACACAUGCAAGUCAAACGGCAGCACGGGGGCAACCCUGGUGGCGAGUGGCAAACGGGUGAUUAAUAUAUCGAAACGUGCCCACAAGUGGGGAAUAACGUACCAAAAGUUACCCUAAUACCGCAUACAAUCUACGGAUGAGAGCGGGGAAUCUUCGAACCUCGCGCUCAUGGAGCGGCCAAUAUCUGAUUAGCUAGUUGGUGAGGUAAAGGCUCACCAAGGCAUCAAUCAGUAGCUGGUCUGAGAGGACAACCACCCACACUGAAACUGAAACACGGUCCAAACUCCUACGGGAGGCAGCAGUGGGAAUUUUUGGACAAUGGGGGCAACCCUGAUCCACCAUUGCCGCGUGAGUGAAAAAGGCCUUCGGGUUGUAAAGCUCUUUUGUCAGGGAAAAAACGGUGAUUUCUAAUA